AUAAAACAUUUAAGUGCAUCACAAAUUAAACGGUUUGCUAUUGAUCUCGUCUUGAUCGUUUAACACAUGAAAUUGAUGACAUGCUGAUAUAUUUUGUACAUUUAGGUUCUCCGCGUCCUCUUCAUCAAAUGAAGACGAAUUUCACGAGCGGUUGUAUGAUACAGCGACACUCAAUUUUACAGCGAUAGCAUAUCCAGAACCCGGAAUGGAUGGUUUCGUCUGGCACAAACAAAAAAGUUUCACGUGGAUACCGCUACUGAGUAACGCUGACAUAGUUAUCCUCUCAUCAGGUCUUCAUACAAGACUGACUAUUAAAAACGUAUCGAGGUCCGACUUUGGCCAUUAUCGUGUUACUGUGACAAAUGAAAUAGGCAAAUAUGAGCAGUACAUUUUCUUAACUGAAACAGAGCAACAAAAAAUACCAACUGAGACCAUUCUUCCCUCAAAAAAGACGUUGGAAAGCACAGGACUAAUUAUUAGUGUAACUCUCGGCAUUCUGUUUGUCACAGUUACGAUAAAUGCUAUAAGCAUGUCAAUUUACUUCAAACGAAAACUGAUACUUCUAGUUGAACAAUUUUACUACUUAAAAAUAUUCUCGAUAAAGUUUUUUUUUUAAAAAAAAAUAUACAUGUAUAUAUAAUUUUUAAAAAGUUUACUCGCAAAACUUCCAAACAAAUGAUAACAUGCUAGUCCAGCAAUGAAUAAUUUGAACAAUUGUGGUUUACCAUAUCGUUUAAUUCAGUACAAAUUGCAUGCUAUUAAGCUCUCUUAUUCACAGACGCUUUGUAUCUUUUUGUUUUAAUUUUGUUUAUAUACAGGUUAACAUUCAUUAAGCAGUCAUUAAAGAUCCUUUAGCCGCCAUUAGUUGUUUAACUAUUCGUUCUGUAAUAUAUUUUUAAGUCCCCUGAAGGUAAAUGUAGACUAACAUUUAAGCAACAAACUUGAUUUUAUAAUAGUACGAAAUAUAUAAAAUAAUACACAUUGUUAUAAAAUAAUACACAUGUAAUUGCAUAAAAAUGCCAGAAAACUAUUUGAUUAUUUUUUAUUUUUUGUUAUCUCAAGACGCACAGACAUCUACACAGCCAAGUCAAAGAACAAUCGCAAAUCUGAGUUUCCAAACUGUCAAUACAGAUGAAGAUUAUUCUAGGCCAUCAACAAAUGCUACUUCUGCUGUGACCAACGACAACGAAUAUUCUGUUCAGAAUUAUACAGAUUUGCAUGAACUCUCAAAUGACAACCAAAGGACAUAUGAUGUUAUUCAAUAAUACUUAAAUUGUUUCAUCUAUCUUUCAAAGACAAUAGCAUUUAGCAAUCUUUCAAAAUCGUUGGAAGAGUUGAAUUUUCCUAGGACAAAAGUAUUAUUAUUAUGAGUUGACUCUUUUGUUUAUGAGUAAAUGCAUAUAUUCACAAUUUAUAGCCUUAACUUUUGGCAAUUAAUAUUGAGAUCAUUCACAAGUAGAGAACAAAAUAAUGGAGACUGCGUAUACCCCUAUCCAGAGCAACAUUACUGUUACUGGUACUGCAGUAAUUUUGCAAGUAUUGGUACUGAUACUUAAUUAACUGGUAUUGAUAAUGCAUUACUGUCUUAAAAAGUAGUACUGUAUAACAGUGCAUUACUUUGGUUUUGAUAAAAAUGUCAUCAGUUUGUCUCAAAAAAUAAAAACACACUGUAAAUUCCAUGUAUUUUUUUAUUUUUGUGAAAAAGUAAGUUUUCAAAUCUUACCUAUAACUAUAGAAAACCAGAACUUAAGAAUGUGCAUAACAUGGAAAUUAAGCAUAGAGAAAUCAUAUUACAUAAAUGAAUUAUGUAUUUUUUUUAUAUUUUUUUAUUUAUUUUUUAUUAUUUUUUCAUGUUUUGAAAUUUAUGUAACUGUUUAAAGCAAUCAGUUGUCGAAACGGAUUCAUCGUUUUAUGGUAACUGACAUUUAUUGUAGUAGUAUAAAUAUAAAUCAUGCAAAUUAGUUGAACUGUCUUUGAGUUUUAAACAAAUACAAUGACAACAACAACAUAUAUUUUUAUUUACUCAAACAUGCAUACAACAUGUAAUAUGAGCAUAAAUGUCAAACUGUUUAACAAGGCAUUUAUACAAAUUGAAGGAAUAAAUAAAUAAAAGAUAC
Molecule: long non-coding RNA, 2117 nt
Organism: Ruditapes philippinarum (Manila clam)
Lineage: Eukaryota; Metazoa; Mollusca; Bivalvia; Venerida; Veneridae
Exons: 3
Source: RefSeq, a predicted model, not a curated record